Molecule: ribosomal RNA, 467 nt
Filed under: uncultured bacterium
Lineage: Bacteria
Description: partial 16S ribosomal RNA
Rfam family: Bacterial small subunit ribosomal RNA
Source: RNAcentral
GACGAACGCUGGCGGCGUGCUUAACACAUGCAAGUCGAACGGAAAGGCUCCAGCUUGCUGGAGUGCUCGAGUGGCGAACGGGUGAGUAACACGUGGGCAAUCUGCCCUGCACUCUGGGAUAAGCCUGGGAAACUGGGUCUAAUACCGGAUAGGACCUUUCUCCUCAUGGGGUUUGGUGGAAAGUUUUUCGGUGCAGGAUGAGCCCGCGGCCUAUCAGCUUGUUGGUGGGGUAAUGGCCUACCAAGGCGACGACGGGUAGCCGGCCUGAGAGGGUGAUCGGCCACAUUGGGACUGAGAUACGGCCCAGACUCCUACGGGAGGCAGCAGUGGGGAAUAUUGCACAAUGGGCGAAAGCCUGAUGCAGCGACGCCGCGUGAGGGAUGACGGCCUUCGGGUUGUAAGCCUCUUUCAGUAGGGACGAAGCGCAAGUGACGGUACCUGCAGAAGAAGCACCGGCUAACUACGUG